UAAAUGUAAAUUUAACAGUUGCACGUUCAACACUAGAGUUUCAGUAAUCACUAUGGAUUUGACUGAAAAACAUGUCAUGACCACAGACCUUUCAUCAUGGUUCCCUUUUGUUUAUAGAACCUUCAAGAAGAAGGUAGCAACACAGACAUGAUGCUGCUCAUUGUUAUUACAUAUAGUUUUA
Molecule: long non-coding RNA, 181 nt
Organism: Thalassophryne amazonica
Lineage: Eukaryota; Metazoa; Chordata; Actinopteri; Batrachoidiformes; Batrachoididae
Exons: 3
Source: RefSeq, a predicted model, not a curated record